Molecule: ribosomal RNA, 759 nt
Filed under: uncultured Staphylococcus sp.
Lineage: Bacteria; Bacillati; Bacillota; Bacilli; Caryophanales; Staphylococcaceae
Description: bacterial SSU rRNA
Rfam family: Bacterial small subunit ribosomal RNA
Source: RNAcentral
UUAGCGGCGGACGGGUGAGUAACACGUGGAUAACCUACCUAUAAGACUGGGAUAACUUCGGGAAACCGGAGCUAAUACCGGAUAAUAUUUUGAACCGCAUGGUUCAAAAGUGAAAGACGGUCUUGCUGUCACUUAUAGAUGGAUCCGCGCUGCAUUAGCUAGUUGGUAAGGUAACGGCUUACCAAGGCAACGAUGCAUAGCCGACCUGAGAGGGUGAUCGGCCACACUGGAACUGAGACACGGUCCAGACUCCUACGGGAGGCAGCAGUAGGGAAUCUUCCGCAAUGGGCGAAAGCCUGACGGAGCAACGCCGCGUGAGUGAUGAAGGUCUUCGGAUCGUAAAACUCUGUUAUUAGGGAAGAACAUAUGUGUAAGUAACUGUGCACAUCUUGACGGUACCUAAUCAGAAAGCCACGGCUAACUACGUGCCAGCAGCCGCGGUAAUACGUAGGUGGCAAGCGUUAUCCGGAAUUAUUGGGCGUAAAGCGCGCGUAGGCGGUUUUUUAAGUCUGAUGUGAAAGCCCACGGCUCAACCGUGGAGGGUCAUUGGAAACUGGAAAACUUGAGUGCAGAAGAGGAAAGUGGAAUUCCAUGUGUAGCGGUGAAAUGCGCAGAGAUAUGGAGGAACACCAGUGGCGAAGGCGACUUUCUGGUCUGUAACUGGCGCUGAUGUGCGAAAGCGUGGGGAUCAAACAGGAUUAGAUANCCUGGUAGUCCACGCCGUAAACGAUGAGUGCUAAGUGUUAGGGGGUUUCCGCC